AGCGAACGCUGGCGGCAUGCUUAAACACAUGCAAGUCGCACGGGCACUUCGGUGUCAGUGGCGGACGGGUGAGUAACGCGUAGGUAUCUAUCCUUGGGUGGGGGACAACUGUGGGAAACUACAGCUAAUACCGCAUGAUAAACUGAGGUUUAAAAGGCGCAAGUCGCCUGAGGAGGAGCCUGCGUACGAUUAGCUAGUUGGUGGGGUAAAGGCCUACCAAGGCUACGAUCGUAGCUGGUCUGAGAGGAUGAUCAGCCACAUUGGGACUGAGACACGGCCCAAACUCCUACGGGAGGCAGCAGUGGGGAAUAUUGGACAAUGGGCGAAAGCCUGAUCCAGC
Molecule: ribosomal RNA, 340 nt
Filed under: uncultured bacterium
Lineage: Bacteria
Description: bacterial SSU rRNA
Rfam family: Bacterial small subunit ribosomal RNA
Source: RNAcentral